AUUUUUUUAAUUUUGGUAAUUAUCUGUUUUCUUGCAUUAAUUGUUAAUUGGAGUAAUAAGAAAUGGCCAGACAUCCUAAACUGAUUUCCUCAUGAAAGUGAAUCAUAGCAAUCAAAGGUAAUGAACACGUCUUAAUUUUUAAAUCUUUUUUGGAUAUUUUUCUUUUGACAGUAAAACUUGACAGCAGUGACAAAAUAAUACAAUAGUCAUAAUAGGAGCGAAAUAAUUAACAGUAAAUAUGUACAAUGAAUAAUGAAUCACAGUAAUUGUAUGUUGUUUAACACGUCUGACGAAUUUGUCAAUUUACGUAUCUUCCCAUGACUUUUAUGUGUAAUUUGUAAGCAAUAGUGUAUAAAUACGUAAAAAUUAUAGUGUUGUGGGAUAUGUCAACAAAGUCACAGUUAACGAAGGAUUUAAAUGAAAGUAUUAAACGCUUAUUGGGGAAGCAAGUUAAGAUCCUAUUUAAAAAUGUCGUACGACUUGA
Molecule: long non-coding RNA, 484 nt
Organism: Agrilus planipennis (emerald ash borer)
Lineage: Eukaryota; Metazoa; Arthropoda; Insecta; Coleoptera; Buprestidae
Exons: 2
Source: RefSeq, a predicted model, not a curated record